Molecule: ribosomal RNA, 399 nt
Filed under: uncultured bacterium
Lineage: Bacteria
Description: bacterial SSU rRNA
Rfam family: Bacterial small subunit ribosomal RNA
Source: RNAcentral
UAGGAAUCUUCCACAAUGGGCGAAAGCCUGAUGGAGCGACGCCGCGUGAGGGAUGAAGGCCUUAGGGUUGUAAACCUCUAAAAGAGGGACGAUAAUGACGGUACCUCUUGAAUAGCACCGGCUAACUCCGUGCCAGCAGCCGCGGUAAUACGGAGGGUGCAAGCGUUAUCCGGAAUCACUGGGCGUAAAGGGCGCGUAGGCGGUCUGUUAAGUCCGAUGUUAAAUCCCGGGGCUCAACCCCGGCUAAGCGUUGGAUACUGGCAGGCUAGACGGUUGGAGAGGCGAGUGGAAUUACCAGUGUAGCGGUGGAAUGCGUAGAUACUGGUAGGAACACCCAUUGCGAAGGCAGCUCGCUGGACAACACGUGACGCUGAGGCGCGAAAGUGUGGGGAGCAAACC